GCGGAAGUGGCGCAAUUGGUAGACGCGCUAGCUUCAGGAGCUAGUGGGAGUAAUUCCCUUGAGGGUUCGAAUCCCUCCUUCCGCA
This 85-nucleotide transfer RNA is filed under the name Candidatus Omnitrophota bacterium. RNAcentral describes it as "tRNA-Leu". It matches the Rfam family "tRNA". From Rfam's summary of the family: Transfer RNA (tRNA) molecules are approximately 80 nucleotides in length. Their secondary structure includes four short double-helical elements and three loops (D, anti-codon, and T loops). The record is from RNAcentral. Lineage: Bacteria; Pseudomonadati; Candidatus Omnitrophota.